ACUUGGGGCAUCUUUUGUUAAAAUUUGAGAUCUUGAGAUAGGAUGAUCAAUUAUGUCAGUGGCCGGCUUAUUUCACGAUCAGGAAAUAUUGCUGAAGUUGGUAAAUGGUUGCAGGCUAUGUUCUUCUCUUUGAAGCAGAUCCCAUGAUACCUUAUCCCACGUUACUUUGAUGCUAUAUUAAUUGGUGCAUACACCACUCU
Molecule: long non-coding RNA, 200 nt
Organism: Ictidomys tridecemlineatus (thirteen-lined ground squirrel)
Lineage: Eukaryota; Metazoa; Chordata; Mammalia; Rodentia; Sciuridae
Source: Ensembl